GGCGAUGUAGCUCAGUGGUAGAGUGCUUGCCUGACAUGUGUGAGGGCCUGGGUUUGAUCCCCAGUACUGCCC
RNAcentral lists this transfer RNA (72 nucleotides) under Fukomys damarensis (Damara mole-rat). It matches the Rfam family "tRNA". Rfam says of the family: Transfer RNA (tRNA) molecules are approximately 80 nucleotides in length. Their secondary structure includes four short double-helical elements and three loops (D, anti-codon, and T loops). The record is from Rfam by way of RNAcentral. Lineage: Eukaryota; Metazoa; Chordata; Mammalia; Rodentia; Bathyergidae.